Molecule: ribosomal RNA, 253 nt
Filed under: uncultured bacterium
Lineage: Bacteria
Description: partial 16S ribosomal RNA
Rfam family: Bacterial small subunit ribosomal RNA
Source: RNAcentral
AACGUAGGUGGCGAGCGUUAUCCGGAUUUACUGGGCGUAAAGCGCGUUCAGGCGGUCUGGCAAGUCGGGCAUGAAAUCUCUCGGCUCAACCGGGAGGGGCUGUCCGAUACUUCCAGACUUGAGGGCAGUAGAGGAGGGUGGAAUUCCGCGUGUAGUGGUGAAAUGCGUAGAUAUGCGGAGGAACACCUGUGGCGAAGGCGGCCCUCUGGGCUGCUCCUGACGCUCAAACGCGAAAGCUAGGGGAGCGAACGGG